This is an RNA transcript of Ornithodoros turicata, 986 nucleotides long. RefSeq lists it as uncharacterized. NCBI's taxonomy places the organism in Eukaryota, Metazoa, Arthropoda, Arachnida, Ixodida, Argasidae. The transcript has 2 exons. The record is from RefSeq and is a predicted model, not a curated record.
UGCGCCCGAGAGGCUCCAAGCGGCGGGCAUCGGAUUUACUCCUCUGGGCCAGCUAGCCAGCGCAGAGCGCGAUAGAUAGACAGAGAAAAGCGUUAGUGGCGUUCACCGUUCGAGUCACCUCUCUAUCUCGGUACUAUACCGUUUGAUUUCGCUUCAUGGUGCUGACUGUGACGACGGGAUAUUAUCCAACGUCGCCAAUACUGCCCGAAGGUUGACUUUCGACGGGAUCUGCGGGCCUCUCCCAUAAAAGAUCACGAUGCCGAACCUUACCGGUCCACGUGACAGCAUCGAAGCCAACAGCAGCACAUCGUCGGACGUAAUCCCCGAGGUGUGCCCACUCGGAUCGUUGGAUUCACUGGGCAAUCACGACAUCGACGAGGACGACAUGAAGGAGUCAAGGUUAAUGAACCUGCUCGACUCUGCCAGCGACUAUUUCUACAGCCUCUUCUAUUGCGGAUACAGAAGCUUGUUCGUGGACACUUACCAAUUCGAGGACUUCGUCUUUUACUCCCUGUGGAUGUUGUGCCUUCACUUCUGCAUCACAGAGAAGCUCCCGAACAUCGUGCGAGCUUCGCAUUGAGCAACAAAGGUGUGAAUAUGUGGUAUGUGUUUGCGAGUUACAUAAACGGAAGGAUAACCCACGGGUGACGUCGAAAGAUGCUGUCCAGUGGAUUGGAUUGGAUGUCGUCCAGUGCUGCGUGCGUGCUUCGAACGUUUCUGCUAAAUGUGAUGGUGAUAUACGUCUUGUCUGCAGCGAACGUUCUUCCGAGGACAUCACUUCGAGACCCGUUGACUUUUCGUUAUUUAUAGCAGUGCCAAAGAUAUUUUGAGCGAUUGGCGAUGCGGAGAAAAAGAAGAAAGUGCCUCGUGAUCUUGUUACGCCCACUUCUAGCUUGAACGUUGUGGAUACGUCUACCUGUCAAGCAUCAUGUUGGGCACGACGCUGUAGUCAGUUGUGCUGAAAAUAGAGCGAAGCUCUGAAACAA